UAAAGUUCAAAAGAGUAUUUAAUAAAAGUCUUGGUAAAAGUUUUAGGACGUUGCAUUACGAAAAUUAUAAGUAAGCUUAGGCUUGUGAUCUAUAAAUUUCCUGAGAGAAAACUCAAAAACUUAUUAUACAGCAAAUAUGUGAAUUGAAUCAUCUUAGUAGCAUAAAAAAAAUCAAACGAGAAUUUGCAAGUACUGGUGAACGAAAGCAAAUUAAGCCGAAGUAAUUUACUUUGUGAAAUAAUAUUAUAAAAGGUAUUAAUCCUGUAACAAAGUUUAUGGAAAGUAACAUGAGUAACACGAAUAAUUUGUGUGAAUAUAAGGAGAACCACCUUCUAGAGCUUAUAAAACUUUUAACCGAUAGUAAACGAGUAUUGUGAAAGAAAGACUAAGUUAUCCGUUAGGAAUUAAGUUAAUUGAAUAUUCUAUAUGUUUCGGAGUUUAAAGAACCACGAUUUGCCUUUUGCAUAAUGAAUCAGCAAGUUAAUAUAUAUUGCAAGUAUAAAUUAAUAAAAUUAAACAAAAGUAAUAUUUAUUAGACCUGAAACCAAGUGAUCUAAUUAUGAACAAGCUAAAAAUUUAUUAAGUUAAAUUGAAGGGCUGUACUCACAUAUGUAGCAAAAUAUGGAGAUGAUUUGUGAUUAGGGGUGAAAGAUCAAUCAAACUUGGAGAUAGCCGGUUUUCCACGAAAAGUAUUUAAGUACUACAUGAUUUAAGUAAAUUAUAGUUAGAGUCAACUAAUUGAAGAAUGGGGUGUAAAAACUUACUGAAUUUAAUAUAACUCCGAAUUAAAAUUUAAUCAUUAAUCAUAGCCAGUCUUUAAGCGAUAAGGUUUAAGAGACAAAAGGAAAACAAUCCAGCCUAUAUACUAAGAUCUUAAAAUUGUAACUUAGAGAAAAGACUUUUGGAAAUUACAAAUAGCUAUAAGGUAAGCUUAGAAGCAGCUCCCCAUUAGAGAAAGCGUUUUAGCUCGCUAUUCUUUUCCUAAAGUUAAAAAUAAUAGAGACUAUAAGUUACAUAUCGAUGUAAUAGAUUAAUUAAAUUAAUGGUAGUGGAACACUCUGUAAUUUAAACUUAUUUGAAAAAAUAAAGAAGGAUUCAGAGAAGCAAAUGCUGAUAUGAGUAGCGUAAAUCUUGUCUAAAUCGAGAUCAUUUUAUGUUGAAGGUUUUUAAUGAAAAUUCAGAAACAUUAAGUUAGUCGGCCCUUAAAAAUGAAGCGAAAGCUAAAUUUGAUAGGAAUUUUAUUUUUUUGAUAAAACCAUUUGUAUGCAAAUAUAUGUGAAAAAAAAUUGCACGAUUUAAAUAGAAUAAUUAAAGGGGUACUAUUAAAUCUUCAAUUUUUCAAGAAAAAAUUAAAAUAAAAGACCGUACUUAAACCGACACAGGUAUACUGAUUGAGAAAAUUAAAAUGAACGGGUAAAUUAUAUUGAAGGAACUCGGCAAAUUAACUCUGUACGUUCGCAAUAAAGAGAGCCUUAAUAAAAUAAGGUAGCAUAAAAUAAAAAGCAACGACUGGUUAUCAAAACCAUAGGACUCUGCUAAUUCGUAAAAAAGUAUAGAGUCUGAUGCCUGCCCAGUGCUUAAAAAAGAAAAAGAUAAGUUAAAGCUUAAAUUUGAAUUCUAAGUAAACGGCGGUUCUAACUAUAAGAAUCCUUAGGUAGCGAAAUUCCUUGACGGGUAAAUUCCGUCCUGCAUGAAUGGCGUAACGAUUGCUUUACUGUCUCCAAUAUAAACCCGGCGAAAUUACAGAACCUGUGAAAAUGCAGGUUUCUUACAGUAAGACGGAAAGACCCUAGAUCCUUUACUCUAAUUUUGUAUUGUAAAAUUAUUUAUAUUAUGUAGUGCAGGUGGGAGUAAAUUACUAAAAUGAAACACCACCUUAUAUUAAAUUGUAUUUACUUAUUAAAUUACUUUAUUUAAAACAGUGCAAAAAAGAGAGUUUACUUGGGACGAGUACCUCCUAAAUUGUAACGGAGGUGUACGAUAGUAAAUUAAGCAUAAUGGUAAUAUUUGCUUGACAAUUAGAUUUAUAAAUCAAAUUGAGACGUAAGUCAGUCAUAGUGAUCCGGUAUUUAAGUGUGGAAUUAAUACCGCUUAACAAAUAAAAGGAACUCUAGGGAUAACAGAUUCAUCGUGACUAAAAGUUCUUAUUGACGUCACGGUUUGAUACCUCGAUGUCGACUCAUCUUAUCCUGAAAUUGAAGAAGAUUUCAAGGGUCUAGUUGUUCGCUAGUUAAAAAGGUACGUGAGUUGGGUUCAGAACGUCGUGAGACAGUUCGGUCCCUAUCUACUGUAAGUAUGAAAAAUAAAGAAUUUAUUUCUAGUACGAGAGGAUCGAAAUAAAUUAACCUCUAGUGAAUUUGAUUGUUAUACCUAUAGCAAAGUCUAAUAGCCAAGUUAAUUAAAUAUAAGUACUGAAAGAAUCAAAUAGUACAAAAAUUUUUUUUUAAUUUUUCGAGAAUAAUUUAAACGAAAAUUAAAUUGAUCGAUUAUAAAACAUAAGUUUAGUAAUAAAUGAAGUUUAUAAAUACGAAUUUAUUCAAAAACUUUAAACU
This 2552-nucleotide ribosomal RNA is filed under the name Gelidium elegans. Its description in RNAcentral is "ribosomal RNA large subunit". It matches the Rfam family "Bacterial large subunit ribosomal RNA". The record is from RNAcentral. Lineage: Eukaryota; Rhodophyta; Florideophyceae; Gelidiales; Gelidiaceae.